AGGAGGAGCCUGCGUCCGAUUAGCUAGUUGGUGGGGUAAUGGCCUACCAAGGCGACGAUCGGUAGCCGGCCUGAGAGGGCGACCGGCCACACUGGAACUGAGACACGGUCCAGACUCCUACGGGAGGCAGCAGUGGGGAAUCUUGCGCAAUGGGCGAAAGCCUGACGCAGCGACGCCGCGUGGGCGAUGAAGGCCUUCGGGUCGUAAAGCCCUGUCGGGUGGGACGAAUCUCCUGGUGGCGAAUAACCACCGGGCUUGACGGUACCACCGAAGGAAGCCCCGGCUAACUACGUGCCAGCAGCCGCGGUAAUACGUAGGGGGCGAGCGUUGUUCGGAUUUACUGGGCGUAAAGCGCGCGUAGGCGGCCUGAUAAGUCGGAUGUGAAACCCCUCGGCUUAACCGAGGAUCCGCACCCGAAACUGCCAGGCUUGAGUCUAGGAGAGGAGAGCGGAAUUCCCAGUGUAGCGGUGAAAUGCGUAGAUAUUGGGAGGAACACCAGUGGCGAAGGCGGCUCUCUGGACUAGUACUGACGCUGAGGCGCGAAAGCUAGGGGAGCGAACGGGAUUAGAUACCCCGGUAGUCCUAGCCGU
Molecule: ribosomal RNA, 590 nt
Filed under: uncultured bacterium
Lineage: Bacteria
Description: bacterial SSU rRNA
Rfam family: Bacterial small subunit ribosomal RNA
Source: RNAcentral